RNAcentral lists this ribosomal RNA (271 nucleotides) under uncultured prokaryote. RNAcentral describes it as "partial 16S ribosomal RNA". It matches the Rfam family "Bacterial small subunit ribosomal RNA", at positions 524 to 794 of the family's 1533-position model. The record is from RNAcentral.
UACGUAGGUGGCGAGCGUUGUCCGGAUUUACUGGGCGUAAAGGGAGCGUAGGCGGACUUUUAAGUGAGAUGUGAAAUACCCGGGCUCAACUUGGGUGCUGCAUUUCAAACUGGAAGUCUAGGGUGCAGGAGAGGAGAAUGGAAUUCCUAGUGUAUCGGUGAAAUGCGUAGAGAUUAGGAAGAACACCAGUGGCGAAGGCGAUUCUCUGGACUGUAACUGACACUGAGGCACGAAAGCGUGGGGAGCAAACAGGAUUAGAUACCCCCGUAGU